RNAcentral lists this ribosomal RNA (227 nucleotides) under uncultured archaeon. RNAcentral's name for it is "partial 16S ribosomal RNA". It matches the Rfam family "Archaeal small subunit ribosomal RNA", at positions 23 to 246 of the family's 1478-position model. The record is from RNAcentral.
GCCACUGCUAUUGGGGUUCGGCUAAGCCAUGCGAGUGGAGGGCGUCCCGCAAGGGAUGGCCCCGCAGACGGCUCAGUAACACGUCGUCAACCCACCUUAGGGUGGGGGACAACCUCGGGAAACUGAGGAUAAUCCCCCAUAGGCGGGGGAGGCUGGAAUGCGCCCCCGCUGAAAGCUCAGGCGCCCUAGGACGGGACGCGGCCUAUCAGGUAGUUGGUGGUGUGACG